CGCCGCCGGGCCGGCCCAUGGGGGCAGACCGUCGUACGCGGUCCGUGCCGCGCGUUCGGUGCGGGGGUCCGGUGUUCGAUUCGCCGGGCGGGGC
This 94-nucleotide transfer RNA is filed under the name Streptomyces hygroscopicus subsp. hygroscopicus. RNAcentral's name for it is "tRNA-Tyr". The record is from RNAcentral. Lineage: Bacteria; Bacillati; Actinomycetota; Actinomycetes; Kitasatosporales; Streptomycetaceae.